Molecule: ribosomal RNA, 523 nt
Filed under: uncultured bacterium
Lineage: Bacteria
Description: partial 16S ribosomal RNA
Rfam family: Bacterial small subunit ribosomal RNA
Source: RNAcentral
GACGAACGCUGGCGGCGUGCCUAAUACAUGCAAGUCGAACGCUUUUUCUUUCACCGGAGCUUGCUCCACCGAAAGAAAAAGAGUGGCGAACGGGUGAUUAACACGUGGGUAACCUGCCCAUCAGAAGGGGAUAACACUUGGAAACAGGUGCUAAUAACGUAUAACACUAUUUUCCGCAUGGAAGAAAGUUGAAAGGCGCUUUUGCGGCACUGAUGGAUGGACCAGCGGUGCAUGAGCUAGUUGGUGAGGUAACGGCUCACCAAGGCAACGAUGCAUAGCCGACCUGAGAGGGUGAUCGGCCACACUGGGACUGAGACACGGCCCAGACGCCUACGGGAGGCAGCAGUAGGGAAUCUUCGGCAAUGGACGAAAGUCUGACCGAGCAACGCCGCGUGAGUGAAGAAGGUUUUCGGAUCGUAAAACUCUGUUGUUAGAGAAGAACAAGGAUGAGAGUAGAACGUUCAUCCCUUGACGGUAUCUAACCAGAAAGCCACGGCUAACUACGUGCCAGCAGCCGCCGCGG